AUAUCUCAACAAAAAACAAUCUUGUUAUUUGUUGGACUUUGAAGGCUUGCUGGCUUAAUUUGUCAGCUCCUUUUAAAUGUAUUAGCAAAUUCAAGUGAAAAUUGGCUUCAGAUUGAUAAUUAACUUAUCUAUGCUGCUGCUGAAUCACUAAGAAUUAGCUUAUAGCUGUCCUUGAAGGACUGUCUAAACUUUAGACACUUUUGAU
Molecule: unclassified non-coding RNA, 205 nt
Filed under: uncultured Agaricomycetes
Lineage: Eukaryota; Fungi; Basidiomycota; Agaricomycetes
Description: sequence contains ITS2
Source: RNAcentral